This 251-nucleotide non-coding RNA is filed under the name Acetivibrio thermocellus. Its description in RNAcentral is "Clostridium thermocellum T-box sequence". It matches the Rfam family "T-box leader". From Rfam's summary of the family: Uncharged tRNA acts as the effector for transcription antitermination of genes in the T-box leader family. T-boxes are found upstream of many aminoacyl-tRNA synthetase genes and some amino acid biosynthetic genes usually in Gram-positive bacteria. Lineage: Bacteria; Bacillati; Bacillota; Clostridia; Acetivibrionales; Acetivibrionaceae. The record is from RNAcentral.
AAUAAACCUAUGAGCAAGAGUAGUAGGAAUAACGGCUUGCACAAAGAGAGCUGCCGGUUGGUGGGAAGGCAGUUGCAAAGGUUAUUCUGAAUGGACUUGUGAGGGAAGCCCGAAAUUGGAAAAAAGAGUAGGCGCUUACGGGUGCCCUUCCCGUUAUCAGCAGGGUGUAUAUGUUGGUAUACAAAAAUGAGUGGGCGAUUUAUUCGCCAAUGUGGGUGGCACCGCAGAAGUGAACAGCUUUUGUCCCUGUC